ACUACCUGCUUCUCUGAUAUCAUUAGAGACCACUCCCUAGACUUUAUAGGCAUCCUAGAAACGAAGAAAGAUAGUUUUACUCCUAAAUAUCUUAGGAAGGUUGACCCCUUUGACAGAUUUAGUUGGAAUUGGAUUCCUUCCACUAGUAAGUCUGGUGGGAUCCUAUGUGGGAUCAAAAAGGAAACCUUGGAAAGUGUGUCUUGGGAGGCAGGUAAAUACAUGUUACAGGCCACGGUCUCUGACACCAAACUCAAGUGUAUUUGGACCCUUGUGGUGGUGUAUGGGGCAACUCAGGAGGAUAAGAGAGACGGGUUCCUAGAUGAGCUUGCCUCGGUGUGU
Molecule: ribosomal RNA, 339 nt
Filed under: Triticum aestivum (bread wheat)
Lineage: Eukaryota; Viridiplantae; Streptophyta; Magnoliopsida; Poales; Poaceae
Description: partial small subunit ribosomal RNA
Source: RNAcentral